This 156-nucleotide unclassified non-coding RNA is filed under the name soil metagenome. RNAcentral's name for it is "partial internal transcribed spacer 1". The record is from RNAcentral.
CCGAGUUUACAACUCCCAAACCAUUGUGAACCUACCUAUCUGUUGCUUCGGCGGCGAUCCCAGCGCCGCGCCCCGUACCCCCUCGGGGACGGCCCGCCGGAGGCGUCCAAACUAUAGCUAUAUUGGCCUCUCUGAGUAAGCUAUAAAAAUAAGUCA